This 343-nucleotide ribosomal RNA is filed under the name Onychodactylus fischeri (Fischer's clawed salamander). Its description in RNAcentral is "partial 16S ribosomal RNA". The stretch from base 235 to 343 matches the Rfam family "Bacterial large subunit ribosomal RNA", at positions 714 to 842 of the family's 2925-position model. Lineage: Eukaryota; Metazoa; Chordata; Amphibia; Caudata; Hynobiidae. The record is from RNAcentral.
GUAGUAAAUUUAGCCUAAAUAAAUAUUCUUAAAUUAAAGACAAUAAAACAUUCUUAUUAUUCUAGUACAGGAGAUGAAAAAAAUUUUAAGCGCAAUAAAAAUAGUACUGCAAAGGAAAAAUGAAAUAGAAAUUAAAUAAAUCAUUAAAACAAUAAAAAGCAAAGAUUAAACCUUUUACCUUUUGCAUUAUGGUCUAGUAAGUCUAACCUAACAAAUAGAAAUUUAGUCAGAUUUCCCGAAACUAGACGAGCUACUUCGGAGCAGCAUAAUAAGAGCAAACCCUUCUCUGUGGCAAAAGAGUGGGAUGACUUCCUAGUAGCGGUGAUAAACCUAACGAGUCUAG